CAUAAAGUAGACAGCACUACUAA
This 23-nucleotide microRNA is filed under the name Danio rerio (zebrafish). Its description in RNAcentral is "Dre-Mir-142-P4-v3_5p* (star (passenger))". Lineage: Eukaryota; Metazoa; Chordata; Actinopteri; Cypriniformes; Danionidae. The record is from RNAcentral.